CCUACGGGAGGCUGCAGUGAGGAAUAUUGGUCAAUGGGCGUAAGCCUGAACCAGCCAAGUCGCGUGAGGGAUGAAGGUUCUAUGGAUCGUAAACCUCUUUUAUAAGGGAAUAAAGUGUGGGACGUGUCCUGUUUUGUAUGUACCUUAUGAAUAAGGAUCGGCUAACUCCGUGCCAGCAGCCGCGGUAAUACGGAGGAUCCGAGCGUUAUCCGGAUUUAUUGGGUUUAAAGGGUGCGUAGGCGGCCGUUUAAGUCAGCGGUGAAAGUCUGUGGCUCAACCAGAGAAUUGCCAUUGAAACUGGGAGGCUUGAGUAUGUUUGAGGCAGGCGGAAGGCGUGGUGUAGCGGUGAAAUGCUUAGAUAUCACGCAGAACCCCGAUUGCGAAGGCAGCCUGCCAAGCCAUGACUGACGCUGAUGCACGAAAGCGUGGGGAUCAAACAGGAUUAGAUACCCGGGUAGUC
This 460-nucleotide ribosomal RNA is filed under the name uncultured bacterium. RNAcentral describes it as "partial 16S ribosomal RNA". It matches the Rfam family "Bacterial small subunit ribosomal RNA", at positions 338 to 795 of the family's 1533-position model. The record is from RNAcentral.